Molecule: ribosomal RNA, 421 nt
Filed under: uncultured Dyadobacter sp.
Lineage: Bacteria; Pseudomonadati; Bacteroidota; Cytophagia; Cytophagales; Spirosomataceae
Description: bacterial SSU rRNA
Rfam family: Bacterial small subunit ribosomal RNA
Source: RNAcentral
GAGGAAUAUUGGUCAAUGGACGAGAGUCUGAACCAGCCAAGUCGCGUGAAGGAAGACGGUUCUAUGAAUUGUAAACUUCUUUUGUGCAGGAAUAAAGUGGGUUACGUGUAACCUUUUGUAUGUACCGAAUGAAUAAGCACCGGCUAACUCCGUGCCAGCAGCCGCGGUAAUACGGAGGGUGCGAGCGUUGUCCGGAUUUAUUGGGUUUAAAGGGUGCGUAGGUGGCUUUUUAAGUCAGUGGUGAAAUACAGCCGCUCAACGGUUGAGGUGCCAUUGAUACUGAAGAGCUUGAAACAAGUGGAGGUUGCCGGAAUGGAUGGUGUAGCGGUGAAAUGCAUAGAUAUCAUCCAGAACACCGAUUGCGAAGGCAGGUGACUACGUUUGAUUUGACACUGAGGCACGAAAGCAUGGGGAGCAAACA